Molecule: ribosomal RNA, 616 nt
Filed under: Fischerella muscicola C-03
Lineage: Bacteria; Bacillati; Cyanobacteriota; Cyanophyceae; Nostocales; Hapalosiphonaceae
Description: bacterial SSU rRNA
Rfam family: Bacterial small subunit ribosomal RNA
Source: RNAcentral
GAAUCUGGCUCUAGGUUCGGGACAACCACUGGAAACGGUGGCUAAUACCGGGUAUGCCGAGAGGUGAAAGGUUAACUGCCUGGAGAUGAGCUCGCGUCUGAUUAGCUAGUUGGUGGUGUAAGGGACUACCAAGGCGACGAUCAGUAGCUGGUCUGAGAGGAUGAUCAGCCACACUGGAACUGAGACACGGUCCAGACUCCUACGGGAGGCAGCAGUGGGGAAUUUUCCGCAAUGGGCGAAAGCCUGACGGAGCAAUACCGCGUGAGGGAGGAAGGCUCUUGGGUUGUAAACCUCUUUUCUCAGGGAAUAAGCAAGUGAAGGUACCUGAGGAAUCAGCAUCGGCUAACUCCGUGCCAGCAGCCGCGGUAAUACGGAGGAUGCAAGCGUUAUCCGGAAUGAUUGGGCGUAAAGCGUCCGUAGGUGGCUGUGUGUGUCUAUUGUUAAAGAGUUUGGCUCAACCAAAUAAGGGCGGUAGAAACUACACAGCUAGAGUGCGUUCGGGGCAGAGGGAAUUCCUGGUGUAGCGGUGAAAUGCGUAGAGAUCAGGAAGAACACCGGUGGCGAAAGCGCUCUGCUAGGCCGCAACUGACACUGAGGGACGAAAGCUAGGGGAGCG